GACGAACGCUGGCGGCGUGCCUAAUACAUGCAAGUCGAGCGGACUUUCAAGAAGCUUGCUUUUUGAAAGUUAGCGGCGGACGGGUGAGUAACACGUGGGCAACCUGCCUGUAAGACGGGGAUAACUCCGGGAAACCGGGGCUAAUACCGGAUAAUAUCUUUCUUCGCAUGAAGGAAGGUUGAAAGGCGGCGCAAGCUGCCGCUUGCAGAUGGGCCCGCGGCGCAUUAGCUAGUUGGUGAGGUAACGGCUCACCAAGGCGACGAUGCGUAGCCGACCUGGGGGGGUGAUCGGCCACACUGGGACUGAGACACGGCCCAGACUCCUACGGGAGGCAGCAGUAGGGAAUCUUCCGCAAUGGACGAAAGUCUGACGGAGCAACGCCGCGUGAGCGAAGAAGGUCUUCGGAUCGUAAAGCUCUGUUGUCAGGGACGAACAAGUACCGUUCGAAUAGGGCGGUACCUUGACGGUACCUGACCAGAAAGCCACGGCUAACUACGUGCCAGCCGCCGCCGUAA
RNAcentral lists this ribosomal RNA (515 nucleotides) under uncultured bacterium. RNAcentral describes it as "partial 16S ribosomal RNA". It matches the Rfam family "Bacterial small subunit ribosomal RNA", at positions 28 to 523 of the family's 1533-position model. The record is from RNAcentral.